AAAUCAAAUGCAUAGAUUUCAGUCACAAGCCGCGCCGAAUAAUAAAGAGGCCGUGGGAGGGGCGCGUCAAUAUUGCAGCAAAGACCUUGGUCCUCAUUGCCGAUGCGGCGCCACGAAAAGGGCGCACCGGCGACGAGAUGACGCGCCAUAGGCAAGACGCCGUCGAGCGCCGACAGCAGUGCGACUUGGUCGCCGUUGUGCGACAGAGCCCGCCGCCGUCUUGACCGUGACCGCCCAACGCACAUCAAUGGCGUCAAGGUAGGGCACACUUUGGCCUCGACCACUACGGCACAUGCCAGCGAGCGCCACGAGGCCGGUGGUGUGCGGCCGACAUGGACGACUUUUCGUCGAUAGGUGUGCGCCAUGGUCGGAUGCGACGGUGCCGUGUGGUCGUCAGGCGCCGUCAUGGUGAACGGCGCGGGAUCUCGACAUUAGUGGGGCGCACCAAGCCUGGUCGCGCGGCAGGGUCAGGCGCGCAGGCCACGGCGCACAACAAACCCAUUGUCCGAUUGCAGAUUUAGAAGAAUGGGCCCCAUGUAGGUCAGCCCACAAUGCCAGUGGGCGCCUGCACGAGGCAGGACCAACGCAGCAGCAGCAGCAGCAGCAGCAGCGCCUCCAGACAACCGACAACUAGAAAAAGGGCGAUCGUCGCCGACGCGAGCAGAGAGGACCGACACGACGACAUAUCGCCGUCGAGUGUUUUCUUGUCGGCGUCUCUGCGUGCAUGUCCGUGCCCUUGCGGUUGGCGUCGCCGUCGUCACUGCCCAACGCAGCCCCCGUGGCGACGGCCGGUCGCGGGUCGAUAAAUCCAGAAUAAAAAAUUGAAAAAAAAUUUUUG
Molecule: long non-coding RNA, 838 nt
Filed under: Pandoravirus salinus
Description: putative ncRNA
Source: RNAcentral